RNAcentral lists this transfer RNA (76 nucleotides) under Kofleriaceae bacterium. RNAcentral's name for it is "tRNA-Glu". It matches the Rfam family "tRNA". From Rfam's summary of the family: Transfer RNA (tRNA) molecules are approximately 80 nucleotides in length. Their secondary structure includes four short double-helical elements and three loops (D, anti-codon, and T loops). Lineage: Bacteria; Pseudomonadati; Myxococcota; Haliangiales; Kofleriaceae. The record is from RNAcentral.
GGCCCCAUAGUCUAGCGGUCUAGGACGUCGGCCUCUCACGCCGAAAACAAGGGUUCAAGUCCCUUUGGGGUCACCA